UUAUGUUGGCUCACAAACUUGAGGAGAGUUGCAGCUAAUACACCCUAGCAGUUUAUAACAAAUUUAACUAGUCUUGUUCUUUCUACAUAAAAGUAUUCUCUCUUGAAUGGAGUUCCUCAGCCGUAGCCUGCCUUAGCUACAUGCCUGUGUUUGAAAUCAACAAAGCAGUGUCGUGGGACCCUCCUACCUUAUCAGCAGAAGGCUGAGGCAGUAUGUGGCCAGGCAUCAGUUCCACAUCAGAUGGAAGACAGGAGAGAUGGUUUGUCAUGGAGUCCAUUGACUAAAAGACAGGUUGAUACAGAUGUCUGAACUGGGAGAAACAUUUCACUUGGCAUUAAAAUGAUACAA
Long non-coding RNA from Oncorhynchus mykiss (rainbow trout), 348 nucleotides. RefSeq lists it as uncharacterized. Lineage: Eukaryota; Metazoa; Chordata; Actinopteri; Salmoniformes; Salmonidae. The record is from RefSeq and is a predicted model, not a curated record.